CAGAGACUGCAAGCGUUAUUCGGAUUCACUGGGCGUAAAGGGUGCGCAGGCGGCCAAGUGUGUGAGGCGUGAAAGCCCGGGGCUUAAUCCCGGAAUUGCACCUCAAACUACAUGGCUAGAGCAUUGGAGAGGGUAGCAGAAUUCAUGGUGUAGCAGUGAAAUGCGUAGAUAUCAUGAGGAAUACCAGAGGCGAAGGCGGCUACCUGGACAAUUGCUGACGCUCAGGCACGAAAGCGUGGGGAGCAAAAGGGAUUAGAUACCCCUGUAGUCCACGCCCUAAACGGUGCACACUAGGUCUUGGCGGAUUCGACCCCCCCAGGGCCCAAGCUAACGCGUUAAGUGUGCCGCCUGAGGACUACGGCCGCAAGGCUA
Molecule: ribosomal RNA, 372 nt
Filed under: uncultured organism
Description: bacterial SSU rRNA
Rfam family: Bacterial small subunit ribosomal RNA
Source: RNAcentral